GACGAACCGUGCAAACGUUAUUCGGAAUCACUGGGCUUAAAGCGCGUGUAGGCGGACCCGCAAGUCGGACGUGAAAUCCCUGAGCUCAACUCAGGAACUGCAUCCGAAACUGCGGGUCUGGAGUGGUGGAGAGGGAAGCAGAAUUCCUGGUGUAGAGGUGAAAUUCGUAGAUAUCAGGAGGAACACCGGUGGCGAAGGCGGCUUCCUGGACACUUACUGACGCUGAGACGCGAAAGCGUGGGGAGCAAACAGG
Molecule: ribosomal RNA, 253 nt
Filed under: uncultured bacterium
Lineage: Bacteria
Description: partial 16S ribosomal RNA
Rfam family: Bacterial small subunit ribosomal RNA
Source: RNAcentral